UUGGAGGGCAAGUCUGGUGCCAGCAGCCGCGGUAAUUCCAGCUCCAAUAGCGUAUAUUAAAGUUGUUGCAGUUAAAAAGCUCGUAGUUGAAUUUCGGGGUCAUCAGGUUGGUCGUGCCACUGGUAUGCACUGGCCUUGGUGAUUCCUCCUUCUUGUAGAGCCGUGAUGCCAUUAAUUUGGUGUUGCGGGGAAACAGGACUGUUACUUUGAAAAAAUUAGAGUGUUUAAAGCAGGCUCACGCUUGAAUACAUUAGCAUGGAAUAAUAAAAUAGGACGUUCGAUCCUAUUUUGUUGGUUUCUAGGGUUGACGUAAUGAUUAAUAGGGAUAGUUGGGGACAUUAGUAUUCAAUUGUCAGAGGUGAAAUUCUUGGAUUUAUUGAAGACUAACUACUGCGAAAGCAUUUGCCAAGGAUGUUUUCAUUAAUCAAGAACGAAAGUUAGGGGAUCGAAGACGAUCAGAUACCGUCGUAGUCUUAACCAUAAACUAUGCCGACUAGGGAUCGGAUGAUGUUAAUUUUUUAAUGACUCAUUCGGCGCCUUACGGGAAAC
Molecule: ribosomal RNA, 549 nt
Filed under: uncultured Glomus
Lineage: Eukaryota; Fungi; Glomeromycota; Glomeromycetes; Glomerales; Glomeraceae
Description: SSU rRNA
Rfam family: Eukaryotic small subunit ribosomal RNA
Source: RNAcentral